Molecule: long non-coding RNA, 822 nt
Filed under: Brassica napus (rape)
Lineage: Eukaryota; Viridiplantae; Streptophyta; Magnoliopsida; Brassicales; Brassicaceae
Description: long non-coding RNA (BNAP_LNC010269)
Source: RNAcentral
UACUUGUUAGUCUGAUUAAUUUUUACCUCCCAUUUUUUUUAUAUAAUUCAGUCAGCAAUUUCAUUAGAAAAAAAAAAUAGUAAAUCAUUCCCUGGAGAGAGAAUGUGAAAACCCUAGUUAUCACGCACUGUGGAAAUCUGGUAUGGUGCGGAUACGAAUUCGGAUCCUUUAUGGAUCCACAGAAUGCCUUGACCACCCGACCACAGACGCGUAGUUAGACUGAAUUUUUUAUAGUGACUAGACUCUACCACAAGCGGUGCCCGAGUCAUAGUACCACCGCGUCGACAGAAUUAAACCUGCGAUCUCUGGCAGUCGUCUGUGAAAAGGGAGACCACUAGGAUACAAGUCAUUCUCAAAACUGUUUUGGGUAGACUUUUUAUAGUGACUAGACCCCACUGCAAGCAGUGCCCGAGUCAUAGUUCUACCGCGCCGAUAGAGAAUCGAACCUGUGACCUCUGGUAGUCGUCUGUGAGAAGAGAGACCACUGGGAUACAAGCCCUUGUCAAAAUUUCAUUAGAAAAUAAAUCUUUAAAUAUAAGGAGUGGCAAGAAAUGGAUAUAUGUAAUAUAUCGGAUUUUUGUUCGGUGAUAUGAUUUUUUUUUUUUUUUGAACUGAUCGAUGAUAUGAUUUUGAUAAAUGAUAAUGCUCGCUAGUACACAAUGAAACUUAAAAUCUUUCAUGAUUCCAAUUUGUAACUUUCGGUGUUUCUAUUAAAUAAGAUUCUGAAAUCUUGAUUGAUUUGGUUUCAUCGUACAUCGUAAUCAUGUUACAGAUUACUGACACAAUAUUCAAUUAGCAUCAUACCUCACCCCUUAAAAAAUG